This 313-nucleotide unclassified non-coding RNA is filed under the name uncultured Microbotryomycetes. RNAcentral's name for it is "sequence contains ITS2". The stretch from base 1 to 52 matches the Rfam family "5.8S ribosomal RNA", at positions 103 to 154 of the family's 154-position model. The record is from RNAcentral. Lineage: Eukaryota; Fungi; Basidiomycota; Microbotryomycetes.
AACGCACCUUGCGCUCCCUGGUAUUCCGGGGAGCAUGUCUGUUUGAGUGUCAUGAACUCUUCAACCCACCGGUUUCUAGUAAACUGGAUGGUGUUUGGAUUCUGAGUGUUGCUGGCUAGUAAUAGCGAAGCUCACUCGUAAUUAAUUAGCAUCUCAUAUUCGAAAAUCGGAUUGACUCAGUGUAAUAGACUAUUCGCUGAGGACGCUGCCUUUUAUUAGGGAGUGGCCGAGUUUUGUAAAGUAGAAGCUUCUAACCCUAUUAGUCAACUUUAGAUUAGACCUCAGAUCAGGCAGGAUUACCCGCUGAACUUAA